Molecule: ribosomal RNA, 415 nt
Filed under: Sclerocystis sinuosa
Lineage: Eukaryota; Fungi; Glomeromycota; Glomeromycetes; Glomerales; Glomeraceae
Description: partial large subunit ribosomal RNA
Source: RNAcentral
AGAGUUAAAUAGUACGUGAAAUUGUUGAAAGGGAAACGAUUGAAGCCAGUCGUACUCAUGGGUAAUCAACCUUUCUGGCGCGAUUAUGUGGGCGUGUUGGAGCCUAAUCAGCCCUCGCGUUUUUAUAUUCGUUCCUUUUGGGUGUACUUGCCCGUGCGGUAGGUUAACAUCAAUUUCGGACGUCAUAAAAUGACGGGAGGAAUGUAGCUUCGGUCUCGUACUGAAGUGUUAUAGCCUCUGGUAGAUGUGACGUUUGGGAUUGAGGAUUGCAACGGAUACCUCUCGGGGCUACCUGUCUGGCCUCUGAUGAUUGCUAUGGUGCCGAAAGCUUGCUUACGGUCAUCAAAGUUGAUUGUCAAAAGGUUAGAAUGGGUUAAAUUCGUUAAGGAUGUUGGUAGAAAUCGGCUUUAAACGA